UUGUUAAUUUAACUUGCAGAUUGAUGAUAUAGAUCUCAUUAGUGCAAACAUGGAAAAUUCACUGGCUUCUAUUGGAGGAUUUUGCUGUGGAAGAUCUUUUAUAAUUGACCAUCAGCGAUUGUCUGGUCAAGGCUAUUGCUUUUCUGCAUCCCUUCCUCCUUUGUUAGCUGCUGCUGCUAUUGAGGCUCUGAACAUUAUGGAAGACAAUCCAGACAUUUUUCAGACUCUUCGGGCUAAAUGCAAACGAAUUCACAGAGCUUUACAGGGGUAAGUGAUUCCAAGUUUUUAAAACCUGAUAUAGGUGUUGAAAUGACAUUAU
This is a non-coding RNA of Meleagris gallopavo (turkey), 319 nucleotides long. The record is from RefSeq and is a predicted model, not a curated record. NCBI's taxonomy places the organism in Eukaryota, Metazoa, Chordata, Aves, Galliformes, Phasianidae.